CCUACGGGCGGCAGCAGUCGAGAGGCUUCGGCAAUGGGGGAAACCCUGACCGAGCGACGCCGCGUGAGGGAUGAAGGCCCUUGGGUUGUAAACCUCUUUUGUUCGGGAAGAAGUGCGAUCAGGUGAAUAAUCUGGUCGUUUGACGGUACCGGACGAAUAAGCUCCGGCUAACUCCGUGCCAGCAGCCGCGGUAACACGGGGGGAGCAAGCGUUGUUCGGAAUCACUGGGCGUAAAGGGAGUCUAGGCGGUCAGGUAAGUAAGGCGUGAAAUACCUCGGCUCACCCGAGGAGCGGCGUCUUAUACUGCUUGGCUUGAGUAUGGGAGAGGAUGUGGGAAUUCCUGGUGUAGCGGUGAAAUGCGUAGAUAUCAGGAGGAACACCGGUGGCGAAGGCGCACAUCUGGCCCAAUACUGACGCUGAAGCUCGAAAGCUAGGGGAGCAAACGGGAUUAGAUACCCGAGUAGUC
This 466-nucleotide ribosomal RNA is filed under the name uncultured Latescibacterota bacterium. Its description in RNAcentral is "bacterial SSU rRNA". It matches the Rfam family "Bacterial small subunit ribosomal RNA", at positions 338 to 795 of the family's 1533-position model. Lineage: Bacteria; Pseudomonadati; Candidatus Latescibacterota. The record is from RNAcentral.